Molecule: ribosomal RNA, 253 nt
Filed under: uncultured bacterium
Lineage: Bacteria
Description: partial 16S ribosomal RNA
Rfam family: Bacterial small subunit ribosomal RNA
Source: RNAcentral
GACGUAGGUGACAAGCGUUGUCCGGAUUUACUGGGCGUAAAGAGCGCGCAGGCGGUCGAUCAAGUCGAGUGUGAAAGCCCCCGGCUCAACUGGGGAGGGUCAUUCGAUACUGAUCGACUCGAAGGCAGGAGAGGGUAGUGGAAUUCCCGGUGUAGUGGUGAAAUGCGUAGAUAUCGUAAGGAAGACCAGUGGCGAAGGCGAAUCUCUGGACAGUUACUGACACUGAGGCACGAAGGCCAGGGGAGCAAACGGG